AAUAAGUUCAUUUAUCAGUUUUUAGGACGCAAUGUUUGACUCUUUAUUUUAUUUGAAUUUUUUUGUGAUUAAUAUUUUUAUAUUAUUACUAGAUAAUAAAACAUGAAUAAUACUUUACAUGUGAUUAUUUUUUAAGUUUGUUCUAUAAAACUUUAAAAUAAGACGAAUGAUCAAACUUAGACAUAGAAAUCGAAAAAUAAACUUAUU
RNAcentral lists this microRNA precursor (207 nucleotides) under Oryza brachyantha (malo sina). RNAcentral's name for it is "MIR812 microRNA precursor family". It matches the Rfam family "MIR812 microRNA precursor family". The record is from Rfam by way of RNAcentral. Lineage: Eukaryota; Viridiplantae; Streptophyta; Magnoliopsida; Poales; Poaceae.